CCUACGGGUGGCUGCAGUGGGGAAUAUUGGACAAUGGGGGGAACCCUGAUCCAGCCAUGCCGCGUGUGUGAAGAAGGCCCUCGGGUUGUAAAGCACUUUCAGUGAGGAAGAACGCCUGGUGGUUAAUACCCAUCAGGAAAGACAUCACUCACAGAAGAAGCACCGGCUAACUCCGUGCCAGCAGCCGCGGUAAAACGGAGGGUGCGAGCGUUAAUCGGAAUUACUGGGCGUAAAGCGCGCGUAGGUGGCUUGAUAAGCCGGUUGUGAAAGCCCCGGGCUCAACCUGGGAACGGCAUCCGGAACUGUCAAGCUAGAGUGCAGGAGAGGAAGGUAGAAUUCCCGGUGUAGCGGUGAAAUGCGUAGAGAUCGGGAGGAAUACCAGUGGCGAAGGCGGCCUUCUGGACUGACACUGACACUGAGGUGCGAAAGCGUGGGUAGCAAACAGGAUUAGAUACCCGAGUAGUC
Molecule: ribosomal RNA, 465 nt
Filed under: Vreelandella stevensii
Lineage: Bacteria; Pseudomonadati; Pseudomonadota; Gammaproteobacteria; Oceanospirillales; Halomonadaceae
Description: partial 16S ribosomal RNA
Rfam family: Bacterial small subunit ribosomal RNA
Source: RNAcentral